ACAGUAAUCUUUAGAAGUAU
This 20-nucleotide non-coding RNA is filed under the name Mus musculus (house mouse). Lineage: Eukaryota; Metazoa; Chordata; Mammalia; Rodentia; Muridae. The record is from RNAcentral.